RNAcentral lists this ribosomal RNA (253 nucleotides) under uncultured bacterium. RNAcentral's name for it is "partial 16S ribosomal RNA". It matches the Rfam family "Bacterial small subunit ribosomal RNA", at positions 524 to 776 of the family's 1533-position model. The record is from RNAcentral.
UACGAAGGGUGCAAGCGUUACUCGGAAUUACUGGGCGUAAAGCGUGCGUAGGUGGUGAGUUAAGUCUGUCGUGAAAGCCCCGGGCUCAACCUGGGAAUGGCGAUGGAUACUGGCUCGCUAGAGUGCGGUAGAGGAGAGUGGAAUUCCCGGUGUAGCAGUGAAAUUCGUAGAUAUCAGGAGGAACACCGAUGGCGAAAGCAGCUCUCUGGGACGGUACCGACGCUGAGGCGCGAAAGCGUGGGGAGCGAACAGG